AUUGAACGCUGGCGGCAGGCCUAACACAUGCAAGUCGAGCGGAUGAAGGGAGCUUGCUCCUGUAUUCAGCGGCGGACGGGUGAGUAAUGCCUAGGAAUCUGCCUGGUCGUGGGGGAUAACGUCCGGAAACGGGCGCUAAUACCGCAUACGUCCUGAGGGAGAAAGUGGGGGAUCUUCGGACCUCACGCUAUCAGAUGAGCCUAGGUCGGAUUAGCUAGUUGGUGGGGUAAAGGCCUACCAAGGCGACGAUCCGUAACUGGUCUGAGAGGAUGAUCAGUCACACUGGAACUGAGACACGGUCCAGACUCCUACGGGAGGCAGCAGUGGGGAAUAUUGGACAAUGGGCGAAAGCCUGAUCCAGCCAUGCCGCGUGUGUGAAGAAGGUCUUCGGAUUGUAAAGCACUUUAAGUUGGGAGGAAGGGCAGUAAGUUAAUACCUGGCUGUUUUGACGGUACCAACAGAAUAAGCACCGGCUAACUUCGUG
This 484-nucleotide ribosomal RNA is filed under the name uncultured bacterium. RNAcentral's name for it is "partial 16S ribosomal RNA". It matches the Rfam family "Bacterial small subunit ribosomal RNA", at positions 30 to 507 of the family's 1533-position model. The record is from RNAcentral.